Molecule: long non-coding RNA, 208 nt
Filed under: Phoenix dactylifera (date palm)
Lineage: Eukaryota; Viridiplantae; Streptophyta; Magnoliopsida; Arecales; Arecaceae
Description: long non-coding RNA (PDAC_LNC015097)
Source: RNAcentral
UUUUCUUUCCCCUACGUUCUUUCUUCUCUUCUUCUCCUCUCCUCCUCUAUUCUUCCUGCGUCUCUACAACCUCUUCUUCCUUCUCCUUCUCUUGUUCUUCCUUCUUUUCCUCUUUCCCCGCACUGGUGCUGCAUCAACUUGGUAUCAGAGCAAGGCUGGUUUUGCCCCUGCUGCCAAAGCCCCGAUCCAACAACAGCCUUCCUUUUCC